RNAcentral lists this ribosomal RNA (253 nucleotides) under uncultured bacterium. Its description in RNAcentral is "partial 16S ribosomal RNA". It matches the Rfam family "Bacterial small subunit ribosomal RNA", at positions 524 to 776 of the family's 1533-position model. The record is from RNAcentral.
UACAGAGGUCCCGAGCGUUGUUCGGAUUCACUGGGCGUAAAGGGUGCGUAGGUGGUGAGGUAAGUCGGAUGUGAAAUCUCCGGGCUCAACCCGGAAAUGGCAUUGGAAACUACCUUGCUGGAGGAUUUGAGGGGGGAUUGGAAUACUUGGUAUAGCAGUGAAAUGCGUAGAUAUCAAGUGGAACACCAGUGGCGAAGGCGAAUCCCUGGAAAAUACCUGACACUGAGGCACGAAAGCUAGGGGAGCAAACAGG